RNAcentral lists this non-coding RNA (71 nucleotides) under uncultured Bulleidia sp. The record is from RNAcentral. Lineage: Bacteria; Bacillati; Bacillota; Erysipelotrichia; Erysipelotrichales; Erysipelotrichaceae.
ACAACGAACGAUGAGAAGUCAGCAGAGGCCGUAGUAGUGAAGAAAUCCCGCAAUGGGGAUGGAGCAAAGGG